UAUCAAAAUAAAUCACACACAAUUUCUAUCUAAUAUUAUUAUUUCCAAUCUGUCAAAUAUGUUUCAAAAAUUCUUAAUUACUCAUACGAUGCUCUACAAAAAAAAUAAGGAAUAAUGCACUAUGCAAACGCUUAUGGAGAAUUUUUGUGGGAGCAACUCCAGAAAGUUAGUCAUUAAAAUGGUAUAAUUAAGUUAGAUGACCAACA
This 206-nucleotide long non-coding RNA is filed under the name Elaeis guineensis (African oil palm). RNAcentral's name for it is "long non-coding RNA (EGUI_LNC011782)". Lineage: Eukaryota; Viridiplantae; Streptophyta; Magnoliopsida; Arecales; Arecaceae. The record is from RNAcentral.